Molecule: unclassified non-coding RNA, 446 nt
Filed under: Hevea brasiliensis (rubber tree)
Lineage: Eukaryota; Viridiplantae; Streptophyta; Magnoliopsida; Malpighiales; Euphorbiaceae
Source: RNAcentral
GGAAAAAAAACAUAAAAUAAAAUUUACAACAAUUUGUUCAGCUUGGAUUCAAAUUCAAAAACAGCAUUGUCCAUUAAAGAAUGCUGAUUGGAAAAUCCAAUUCAAAAGUGUUAUGUGGCUUCAAUUUUGGGUGUGUAUUUCAUAGGUCUAAAUUAUGACUCAAUUAAAAAGCUCAAAAUAGCCACCUAAAUGAAAUGUUCUGUAAGUUCUGUACUGAUAGUGGAGAAUCUAAGUUUUUGACCACAAACAUCUUAACAAGUUAAGAGUGAAAAGAGAAUUCUAUUUUGAGCAUAAAUUUGAAUCCAAGCCAAUUGUAUAACGAGAUGUACAUCUCUUUGUUGCGGUUGCUCUGGAAGCAGGUCACUAGUAAUUUGAUCACAGUAUGCCUGUCAACUAGAUAAUCAGAAUUCAUAGACAUCCUACAAAGCCUGGUCAGGUUGAGAUCA